This is a long non-coding RNA of Amphiprion ocellaris (clown anemonefish), 8294 nucleotides long. RefSeq lists it as uncharacterized. The record is from RefSeq and is a predicted model, not a curated record. The transcript is spliced from 3 exons. Lineage: Eukaryota; Metazoa; Chordata; Actinopteri; Pomacentridae.
ACCAUUAGACUUUGGUGGACAGCAGCAAAACGUCGGUAAUAAAUCACGCUGAGGAACAGGAUUCAGUGGAUUUUACGCAUCUAAAGAGCGCAUCCCAACUCUUGUGCUUUAUCCCUUUUAUCUUUUCAUUUCUAACUUUCUUGGAUAAGCAGUCUAUGUGAAUGAGAAUAAUGGGGAAAUCGGUAUCCCAUAAGUUAAAAAGGUAAAAAUGAAGCAUUUGUCGGAGUGACUGUACUGUAGUUAUAUAGCUCACCAUGAUUUUUUUUUACCUCACAGCCAUCGGCAAGUGCAAUUUGUAAAACAGGUAUUUGUUUAUAUUAAACAUUAAUGUAAAAUAGCCGUAGAGCCUAUUUAUUCCGCGCUGUCUUUUUACUACUAAGCGAGCAGCCCCUUUGUACAUAGUAUGUGGUGAUUAGUACCGAAGUGAGGAAUUUGAGCCUCUCUCUCUGUCUCUGGCUUUACAUGCUAUUGUGAGGUGGUGUGUUGACGUCUGUGACAAUAAAAGGAAGUUUCACUGUUAACUAUUGAUUUAUUAUUUGCAUUAUUUUAUUUUAGAAAGAGUUUUCUUUCAUAUUCUGUACUCCAUUCCAUUUUUUGCACAAGUAAUUUACCAAGAGGGACAUAAAACCUUUUGGUGAUGCUAAAAAGUAAGAUUUUUUUCCUAACACUGGAUUUGCAUGUCAGGUAAAUGAAUAAGGUGCCAAAGUGUUUUUAUUUUUAACCUGCUUCAUUAUGGGGUAUAUUCAUGCAGGACAUUAGUGUUUUUAAGCAACAUGCAUUGAGGCUGGAGUAUUUCACAUCAGAUGAAAAACACAGGUGCCAUUGUGCUCAAUGGACACUCUUCUAUUCAGAUUUUCCCAGCAAGCCAUGACAGUGUGGCAGGAAGCCAACAUGCACAACAACACGACUCUGAAACUGAAGCGUCUGAAUCAAAUUCAACCAUUAUUUGACACCUGCAACCCUAACCCGUGCUUCACCUGCUCUAGCAUGGUUUUUGUUGGGGUAUAGACCUGUUUAAUUAAUCAGUUUGUUCAAAGAAUCUGAAUUCAAAUGUGAUGAUAUUCAAUUUAAAUUGCACUAUUACAUGCAUGUCUUUGUUGGCAGACCUUUCAACUCCAUUUGGCCCCAUCUGUUUUGUAGGUCUUGAUGUAAUUUAUAAGCUGCACAGAAAUACAAGUUGCAGCUCGCUGUGGUUUUCACAUUACAAGUCACUGUGCUGAUUUAAAAUUCUAGAAAUGCAUAAUGUGACUCAUACGAGACAGAUUGUCUGAGUAAUGGUCAAAAUCAAAGCAGCAGAGAUCCUCAAUGUUUAGACUUUCUUGCAAAUCUCCCCUUUUGAGCCUAAUUUCAAAAACUAGCUGAAAUAACCCUGAUGACAUCACGGUGGCGUCAUCAGAGUUACUUCCUUGGACUUUGGAAAUCUACUCCUAAAGACAGAAAAAAGAACUUUUGGUAUAAAAUUAGCUGAGUGCAUCUUCAAGAAGGGAAAGGUUUUUUUUCAGGUACAAAUAUGCUAAAAUAGCGUAAUAUAUAUAUAAUAUAAUAAUAUUAAUGUGUUUUCAUGUUUAGCAUUUUUUUAAAGGUCACCUAUGCUCACUGAUUUAACCCCUAAAAACUCACCUUUGUGUCAAAGUUAGAUAUCUAGAAGUUAUUUUCAACAAAAAUAAUCAUUUACUGGUUUAAAAUGGCUUGGAUCUUUGAAGUCCUUGGAUCUUUCUCCACUCAACCUUUCUCACUCACUGCAGCUGGAACACACCUGCUCGCCUACAAUACUCUGUAAAACUACUCUAUAGUAUACAUAGGUUUGUUAAGUUACUGAAUGUCUAAAUAGGUGUGUUUUUGAGACUGAUUUGUAUACUGUGGGGUCAAGAAAAAGCUUAUUUUGCUCACAAUAUGUCUUCCAAUAUAUAAAAGGACACCAUGUUAACCAAGUAAAAAGAACAAACUUGAUUUCCACUAUUUAUCUUAGUGCUGCCUUUGAUCUGCAAUCAAGCUAAGCCCAAAUGUUCUUAAGCUCUCACCUGCAAACAGUUGCACUCAGAAGGUUAAUUUCCUCUUGAGUAUGCCGUUUGAUGGUUGCAUUUUCCUCAAGCCGUACUCAGAGAGCCUAUGGAGAACGUUUCAGUAAACAUCAUGACAGCUGGUGUUAUGAAGUGGCUCUUACAGCGGAGAUUUGCGCCUCUUUCUGGGGAAUAUUAAUUAGCCCUUAAGCUGGACGUCUUUAAAAUGCAUUAGCAUGAUGUGUUUUGCUAAUGAAGCUCUCCCAAAAGGGCCGAGGCAGUACAUUUCAAUUAGAGCAGAAAAACUGAAUGGACCUGAGCUCAGCUGUUUUGUCUAAUGAACAUUGUUUAGAUAUGAUUGGCCGAGCUAAUGGGUGUGAAUGAAACUCAGUUUUUGGAGGAAAAAAAAAAAAAACUAAACAAAAAUCACACCGUCAGUGGAACCAGUACCAUUGAUGGCCUCCUGGCAAAGCCUCACUUCAUUAUUAAGCAUUGUUUGUUUUGGCAGGAAGUUUGCGUUUUGGGCAGAUUAGCUGUGAGCUCACAGAUGGAGAGACUAAUCAGUGGCUUGAAGAAUAAUUGCUUCAAAUUGUCUGUGUAUCAGUCGAUAUUUUGGCUGCUCCACAGUCAGAGCACAUGAAUUAUCAACAUGGCCUUUGCCUUAACAGAGGUUACUGGUGGUCUGCAUUGAGUUUAGAUUCAAAAAUAUGUCUGGUUCUUGAUUUAUUUAUUUAUUUUAACCAACAAUGUAUUAUUGGUAAUGCACCUCCAGAGCAUUUUACAAUCCAGUCAAGGAAAUUAGACCAAGAUAGAUGUUAAAUACUGAAUCACAUUCCUAUUCUUUAUUGAAUGUGAUUUAUAUAGCUUAUACACAAUAUAUGGAGAAGGAGGACAUUGUCUUUUGCAAAGGAGUGAAUCAUUGUUCAUCGUUUUUGAAAUGCAGUUAUCCGGUUUCUUGCUGAGACUGAGCUGAGUCUACCUUUUCAUUGUUUUGCAAAUUAUAUGCAAAUCUGUCUGCUUGUAAAAAGAAAAAGAAAAGACUCAGUGCAGCUCAUACUGGACUGUUUCAAAUGUGUCCAAACGUGAAUGGAUUUCAACUUUCUCAGCAUUAAAGAAAGUAAGACUGUUGUGUUUGGUCUGAAGGACUUGUUGGAUGAUCUGGAGUCACUUUUGGCUCUUUGGCUUCAUAAAAUGGAUCUUUUGUGACAACAUUUUCCUCCACAUUUUAUAGACAGAUCAGCUCAGUUGUCGAAAGAAGCGUUUUUCAAGACUUUUAGCCAAGAUGAAGGCCUAUAUUUGACUUUAUUACUGUGUGUAUAGACUCUUGUAAGUCUUUGUAUGUGGAUGUAGAUCAGUCGUUUCUUCAUCGUCUGCAGCUGAUACAAAAUGUGGCUGCUCAUCUUCUAACAAGGAAUAGAAAGCGUGAUCACAUCACACCAGCAUUGGCCUCCCUCCACUGACUUCCUGUCUGUUUCAGGAUUGACUUUAAUUUAAUUAAUUUAAUUGUGUGGUUUUUAUGGUUUCAAAUGGGUUGAAGCCUCCUUAUUGAGCAGAACUCUUACAUCACCAUAACCCAGUUAGAGCACUGAGGUCGACCAACCAGAUGCUCCAAGAUGCUCUGAGAUCCAGCCUCAAAAAUAGAGGCUCAAAUGUGAGAAACUUAAAGACCCACCUCUUCUCGUUGACUCAGUUAUUAAGGUUUAAGGAGAAUUUCAUACUUAAUCUUUAAAAAAACAUUUUUUAUUGUAUUUCCAUGCAAAUUUGUUUUGCUGCUUUCAUUGUACAAAACUUUUGGUUCAACUCUUGUUUUCAAAUGUGUUUCGUGAAUAAAUUUGACUUUGAGAAGCUCAAAACUGAACAGCGAACAUGUGGCUACAGUCAAGAGAUGGUUUGGUCCAACUGGAACAAAAUCUGCCUACCAGCACCUUUAAAUUUCGCUCACUAUCUUCAUUUGAAAAGCCUAAAAUGCAAAGUUUUGAUUUUAUGGAGGAGGUACUGAGCUUGACCAGGGCAUGAUUGGGUAGAUAUCCCAAAAUUAUGCUCAAGUUCAUAUUUAUUUAUGGCCUAAAGAACCUGGAGAAAUUUUAGGAAACCAGCUGCAACUCAUGAAGUAAUCAGUCCCGCUAUUAAAUUCCCACAUUCCCAGACGUUAAUGCGCCCAUAAAAUAAUAAAAAAAGUCAGGUUUCAUAGCUGAAUGAAGUUCGACAUCUUCCAUGACCUCCGGUGACAGGACUCACACUGUGCUGAAGCUUUAAGCGAGUGUCUGGAUUCCUUCUGAUCCUCUCCGGCGACAGGUGUAAAGUUUCAUCCAGUUAUUACAUUUACUUCACCUCCUCUCAUCCAGAUCAUGAAUAUUAUCUCUGCCAACCACCUACUGCCAUCUGCACUUGAUUAACAACCAACACAAACAUCAUCAAAGAUAAUUAAAAACAUUCUGAUUGUAAGGCUCCUUUGUGAAUCUUAAUGAUAAUCUCCUUCUCCCUAAGUGCUACUGUCAUAUUGGUGCUAAGAGACAUUUGCUUUGUGAUAUUUGGUCAGUGGUCAAGCGUUUAAAUAAUUGAUUCUGCAGAAAACGAGAUUAUGAAACACAAUACUGUAUUGUGUAUUGUCAUUUUCUGCAGGGAUUGUAACUGCAGGGGAGGCUGGUACGAGUACGAGAGCAAAAAAACGAAAAAAGAAAUGACUGAAGGCAAGAAAUGCCAGCACCUGGAGAUAAUUAUAGCUGAUUGCUAAUUAUUAGAACCUUAUCAAACCCCAACAGAGGUGCUAAAUUGUUGCUAUGGGAACAUAAAAGUCGACCUUUUGCACCCCUUAUCUACUUUAAAAUCAUUUGUUUCACCACAUCGAAUGCAAUUGUUUUGUUAGUCUCUCAAGCUCAAAAAUUUGAACCACAUGAUAGAUUCUGUGGACAUACUUAAAUAAAUGUAGCUAAUAGAGAAACAAAAUAUUAUUUAUGAAUGUGAGAGAAGGCAGAAUGACAAGUAUGACCUCAUGGAGACCCUGCAGCUGGCACACCUCUCUCUGAUGCAGAAACACUGAUAAAGCUCGACUUCCAUUGGCUGAAGAAUGCCUUGUAACCCUGUAAGAUCUAAUUCCCCUGUGAUUUUUCCACUCUAAGUCACGCUGUGAGUGUCGAGGUGCAGCGCCAGAAGCAGGUGCUACACUUCAUGUGUCCAUCUGUUUGGAUUCUCGUGUGAACUUGGCGCUUUGUGGUCUCCAUCUGUUGGGCUUUGGCUCGCUCUGACUGUGGCUCAUGUAAAGAUUGAUCGGAUGCGGUCAGUCAUGUUUAACAUUAAUGUUCAGUUUUUGCAAUGACAACUUGACUCAUUUGUGAGAACAUGAACAAAGAGACUAAAUAUAGCAUGAGCACAUAUCCGCUUUUAGAAACAUUUGCAGCAGGACUAUAAAACAUGACUGAGGUACCCUUUUCCUGUUUAUAUCAAACAUAUACAUCAGCACUGUUCCCUCUAAGCUGCGCGCGUGCGCGAUUGCGCACUGCUGACACGGUCUCCGCGCACAGAAAAUCUGCGCUGCGCACAAAAAAAAAAUCCAACCUAAAUUGUAAAUAAAAUAAACACGUAACAAUUCAUUCUGUGCUAUUUUUCAAUGUGAGUUAGUGAGUGACCGGUGACUGGCUGCUGCAGCCAAUGAUGCGAUUCACUUACCAUAGACUGUAUAUAAUGGUAUUUACGCAGCUAAUCAACGUCAGGCAUCCUUAUGUACAGCCAUCGUUGUUCUCAUAGAUAUGAAUGAGUAGAUAGGACACGCCCCUUUGAGCUGCGGCUACAGCGAGGCUAAGCUAGUGGGGGCAAAGUUUCAGUGCAUUCCGUUGAUGUAGACGGCGUGAAAACGGAAACAACAAGUAUGCCGGCUCACUGUGCUGCAUACAAUUACACACUACGUUGUACGAUUGAGACAAGGAAACUUGGAAUGACUUUUCAUAGGUUUCCCAGAGACUAUGGGUUGAGGAGGAAUUGGAAGUUUGUCGGCUUAGACCUGGUGUCAUUCCAUCAGUGUUAAACUUCCCAGCUCAUCUUGGAAGAGUACGUACCAGAAAGACCACGACCAAGCAGCCUUGAGAUCUUAGGCAGCGUCUCCCUGAGGUCCCUCUCUAUCUCCCCACACAUCCACCAACCACUGGAACACAUCUCCAAAGUUCUGCCGGGCCAGCUCAGCUUCCCCUCAGAAGAAGUGCUGCCACCUGCCAGAUGAAGGAGCCUUUUGAGAGGCAGCUGGCAUCGUGAUUGGACUGUACUUUGGUCUGUUCCAAUCCAGCUUCAGCUCCAGAGACGGCAGGCGGGACGAGUCAACGGAGGCCGGGUGGACGAAGGCAUGCAGCUGAGUACAAUCCAGAAAACAACAGAGGAGGAGUGCAGGGCCAGAACAAACAGAGUAGCAUGGUAUGUCUCUUAGAAAACAUCAUAGUAUAGCCUUUGGUAUGAAAAAACGCCAUCAAAUACAUCGUAUAUUGUACAAAUAACAAGUCAAAGCAAAGAGACAUACAUUGUAGAAUUGUAGUAAUUGUGGACUGACUGAUUUACUGAUUAUCAGUAUUUUAUUUUUUACUGAUCUACGGUAAUAAAUACAUUUAAAAAUGGCGCUACUUUGGCUCUGAACCUUUAUCUACCUGGUCGCUCUGUCUUCUGGAGUGAUUUGAUUGGUUAUAUGUCACGAAUAAAACUCCUUUAACUUAACAUCUGUAAACAAAACAAAAACAUAUCAACAAAGUCUUCUGUUAGAGUUUGUGUUCUUCUAAGUUUAACUCCAAGAUUUUAAAUACUUUCAUUUACUGCAAAUGAAUAUCUACUCCAAAUGUCUCACUAAUAAUCAUUAUCAGCCUUAAAAACCCACAAAACACCCCUCUAUACUCGACCACACUUAGUACAGUCCAGUUCCCCCUUCUAUAAAUCUUCUUGGAAUCUUCCACUUCCUGUUUGUCAAAGUGGCCUUCUACCUGGACAGGUUUUGUUGGAGCUCAUGCAACAAACAUUUUGGGUAACUGCACUUUAAUAUGGAUGGAUGACACUGAAUUAGAGUCUGUUUUAAUGAGACUGAGUUAAGAUGUGUAGCUCUGUCAUUAAAUAGGAAAUUAUUUCUCAGAAUUCACAGAGAAAAGUCUGAAAUGUUUGCUAGAUUACUAUCCCACAUGUUCUUUGGCUCAGCUAAAGCUAACUCUCGCCAACUUCUGGAUCUCUUGAGUUGCUUGUUAAAAUAUCUUGCUAGAGGUGCUGAAGCUCAGAAAGUCUGAGAUGUUUGUUCAAAAUUAGCUCAUUCUCAAGUCUUAUCUGAACUGUCCUCUUUUGUUUGAACUUUCUCUAAACUUAGGAGUUAAUGACAGAGCAGCACAUCCAGACUCAGUCUCAUUUAUGUAGAGAUUAAACUUCAGUGUCAUUCAUUGAUGUUAAAGUGCAGUUUUUCAAAUGUUUGUUGCACAUGCUCCCGACCAAAGCAGUCCAGGUGGAAGACGAUGUGAAGAGAAAGCUCCAGAGGAUGAAUAUCACACAUUUACAUUGUAAAUAAAUGUCCUUUAAUUAGACAUUGUUAUGCAAAAGUUGGAUUUCCCUUUAAUGAUGUUCAAAUCUUUGAGUGUUGUUGAUGGUGGUUUCUAAAUGUUUUCUGACACUCGGCCCCAAAGAUUAAAACCUUUUACGGCUCACAAGCUGCAACAAUUCACACAUUGUCAACUAUCUUUCUGACUAAACUGAGAUAAAAAGUGAAAAACUGCCUGAUUCCUGCAUCAUGAACGUAAAUCUUUUUGGUUUUUAUGACAGUAAACUGAAUAUAUUUGGGUUUGACAUUUUAUAAACCAAAACAAGAAAUGAAUUAUUGGAGUAAACAAUCAACAGAUUAGUGGACAAAGAAAAUGUGUUUUCCAACAUGUAUGGCUGAAUUACUCCAACAUUACAAGAUACAUACAAUUUUAAUUCAGUUUUAUUUAUAUUUUGCCAAUUACAGGUCAAAUUGUCUCAAGACGCUUUAUUUUUAUAGUAAGAAAUUUAAACCUCUUGACUAAUCCAAUUUAUAAUUUGGUUUUUAAGAGAGUAAUGGACAAUCAAAAUAACUUUCUCCACUAAAACUCCUAAACAUGAGGUCAAAUAGAAGGAACAGUUUUAAAUACUGCAGUCCCACGACGACAAGAAUAAAGUUUCUCAACAAAAACUAAAUCUGCUGAUGGAUUCCAUUAAAGUCCUAAUAAAUGAUAAUAAAGUGUGAUACUAAAGGUUUGUGGUGCUAAAAAUGUCAAAGUAAAGAUAUCGAGUUGAACAUCUGGAUGGAGGUUGAUAAAAGUUGAC